AUGGCCUGGUGGGGGAAAGCUUUUGCGGUGUGGGAUGGGCCCGCGGCCUAUCAGCUUGUUGGUGGGGUGAUGGCCUACCAAGGCGACGACGGGUAGCCGGCCUGAGAGGGUGUCCGGCCACACUGGGACUGAGAUACGGCCCAGACUCCUACGGGAGGCAGCAGUGGGGAAUAUUGCACAAUGGGCGCAAGCCUGAUGCAGCGACGCCGCGUGAGGGAUGACGGCCUUCGGGUUGUAAACCUCUUUCAAUACCGACGAAGCGCAAGUGACGGUAGGUACAGAAGAAGCACCGGCCAACUACGUGCCAGCAGCCGCGGUAAUACGUAGG
This 328-nucleotide ribosomal RNA is filed under the name Mycolicibacterium moriokaense. RNAcentral describes it as "bacterial SSU rRNA". It matches the Rfam family "Bacterial small subunit ribosomal RNA", at positions 188 to 531 of the family's 1533-position model. Lineage: Bacteria; Bacillati; Actinomycetota; Actinomycetes; Mycobacteriales; Mycobacteriaceae. The record is from RNAcentral.